GACGAACGCUGGCGGCGUGCUUAACACAUGCAAGUCGAACGAUGAAGCGGUGCUUGCACCGUGGAUUAGUGGCGAACGGGUGAGUAAUACGUGAGUGACCUACCUUUGACUCUGGGAUAAGCCUGGGAAACUGGGUCGAAUACCGGAUACGACCAAUCUCUGCAUGGGGUGUUGGUGGAAAGCGUUAUGGAGUGGUUUUAGAUGGGCUCACGGCCUAUCAGCUUGUUGGUGAGGUAAUGGCUUACCAAGGCGACGACGGGUAGCCGGCCUGAGAGGGUGGCCGGCCACACUGGGACUGAGACACGGCCCAGACUCCUACGGGAGGCAGCAGUGGGGAAUAUUGCACAAUGGGCGCAAGCCUGAUGCAGCGACGCCGCGUGAGGGAUGACGGCCUUCGGGUUGUAAACCUCUGUUAGCAUCGAAGAAGCGAAAGUGACGGUAGGUGCAGAGAAAGCGCCGGCUAACUACGUG
Molecule: ribosomal RNA, 471 nt
Filed under: uncultured bacterium
Lineage: Bacteria
Description: partial 16S ribosomal RNA
Rfam family: Bacterial small subunit ribosomal RNA
Source: RNAcentral